RNAcentral lists this ribosomal RNA (427 nucleotides) under uncultured Pseudomonadaceae bacterium. RNAcentral describes it as "bacterial SSU rRNA". It matches the Rfam family "Bacterial small subunit ribosomal RNA", at positions 356 to 774 of the family's 1533-position model. The record is from RNAcentral. Lineage: Bacteria; Pseudomonadati; Pseudomonadota; Gammaproteobacteria; Pseudomonadales; Pseudomonadaceae.
GGGGAAUAUUGGACAAUGGGCGAAAGGCUGAUCCAGCCAUGCCGCGUGGGUGAAGAAGGGCUUCGGGUUGUAAAGCACUUUAAGGUGGGAGGGAGGGCUGCAAGUUAAUACCUUGUAGGUUUGACGUUAACAAAAGAAUGAGCACCCGCUAACUUCCUGCCCAGCAGCCGCGGUAAUACGAAGGGUGCAAGCGUUAAUCGGAAUUACUGGGCGUAAAGCGCGCGUAGGUGGUUUGGUAAGAUGGAUGUGAAAUCCCCGGGCUCAACCUGGGAACUGCAUCCAUAACUGCCUGACUAGAGUACGGUAGAGGGUGGUGGAAUUUCCUGUGUAGCGGUGAAAUGCGUAGAUAUAGGAAGGAACACCAGUGGCGAAGGCGACCACCUGGACUGAUACUGACACUGAGGUGCGAAAGCGUGGGGAGCAAACA